RNAcentral lists this ribosomal RNA (629 nucleotides) under Clostridioides difficile. RNAcentral's name for it is "partial 23S ribosomal RNA". It matches the Rfam family "Bacterial large subunit ribosomal RNA", at positions 683 to 1319 of the family's 2925-position model. Lineage: Bacteria; Bacillati; Bacillota; Clostridia; Peptostreptococcales; Peptostreptococcaceae. The record is from RNAcentral.
UUUAACUGAGCGUUCAGUUACUUGACGUAGACCCGAAACCGGGCGACCUACCCAUGAGCAGGAUGAAGCGAAAGUAAAAUUUCGUGGAGGUCCGAACCCACGAGCGUUGAAAAGCUCGGGGAUGACUUGUGGGUAGCGGUGAAAUUCCAAUCGAGCCCGGAGAUAGCUGGUUCUCCCCGAAAUAGCUUUAGGGCUAGCCUCAAGGUGAGAGAUACGGAGGUAGAGCACUGAAUGUCCUAGGGGGUAUUGCACCUACCGAAGACUAUCAAACUCCGAAUGCCGUCAUCUUAUACUUGGGAGUCAGACUGUGGGUGAUAAGAUUCAUAGUCGAAAGGGCAACAGCCCAGAUCGUCAGCUAAGGUCCCUAAAUGUAAGUUAAGUGGUAAAGGAUGUGGGAUUGCACAGACAACCAGGAUGUUGGCUUAGAAGCAGCCACUCAUUCAAAGAGUGCGUAAUAGCUCACUGGUCGAGUGAUCCUGCGCCGAAGAUUUCCGGGGCUAAAACUUACUACCGAAGCUACGGCAUCAGUAAUGAUGGGUAGGGGAGCUUCCCAUACGGGUUGAAGCAUGACCGUAAGGACAUGUGGACAGUAUGGGAGUGAGAAUGUUGGCAUGAGUAGCGAGAUGUGG